This 251-nucleotide ribosomal RNA is filed under the name uncultured archaeon. Its description in RNAcentral is "partial 16S rRNA". It matches the Rfam family "Archaeal small subunit ribosomal RNA", at positions 376 to 631 of the family's 1478-position model. The record is from RNAcentral.
GAACUCUGAGUGCCCGUCAAAUCGGGCUGUCCAUCAGUUUAAAUAGCUGGUGAAGAAAGGGCCGGGCAAGACCGGUGCCAGCCGCCGCGGUAAUACCGGCGGCUCGAKUGGUGGCCACUAUUACUGGGCUUAAAGCGUUCGUACCUGGCUUGUUAAGUCUCUGGGGAAAUCUUCCGGCUCAACCGGAAGGCGUCUCAGGGAUACUGRCNGGCUAGGGACCGACAGAGGURAGAGGUACUCCAUSGGUAGGA